Molecule: ribosomal RNA, 585 nt
Filed under: uncultured bacterium
Lineage: Bacteria
Description: partial 16S ribosomal RNA
Rfam family: Bacterial small subunit ribosomal RNA
Source: RNAcentral
UGGGGAAUUUUGGACAAUGGGCGAAAGCCUGAUCCAGCAAUGCCGCGUGUGUGAAGAAGGCCUUCGGGUUGUAAAGCACUUUUGUCCGGAAAGAAAUCCUUGGCUCUAAUACAGUCGGGGGAUGACGGUACCGGAAGAAUAAGCACCGGCUAACUACGUGCCAGCAGCCGCGGUAAUACGUAGGGUGCAAGCGUUAAUCGGAAUUACUGGGCGUAAAGCGUGCGCAGGCGGUUUGCUAAGACCGAUGUGAAAUCCCCGGGCUCAACCUAGGAACUGCAUUGGUGACUGGCAGGCUAGAGUAUGGCAGAGGGGGGUAGAAUUCCACGUGUAGCAGUGAAAUGCGUAGAGAUGUGGAGGAAUACCGAUGGCGAAGGCAGCCCCCUGGGCCAAUACUGACGCUCAUGCACGAAAGCGUGGGGAGCAAACAGGAUUAGAUACCCUGGUAGUCCACGCCCUAAACGAUGUCAACUAGUUGUUGGGGAUUCAUUUCCUUAGUAACGUAGCUAACGCGUGAAGUUGACCGCCUGGGGAGUACGGUCGCAAGAUUAAAACUCAAAUGAAUUGACGGGGUCAUAGCUGUUUCCU